UGCGGCUACAGCUGGCCUGGGCGCCUAUGAGUGACCAGAGGGAGGAAAGCCUGGAUCCCGGGUGCCUGUGGUCGGCUGGAGGAGGGAA
Non-coding RNA from Eptesicus fuscus (big brown bat), 88 nucleotides. Lineage: Eukaryota; Metazoa; Chordata; Mammalia; Chiroptera; Vespertilionidae. The record is from RefSeq and is marked provisional.